Molecule: ribosomal RNA, 459 nt
Filed under: uncultured bacterium
Lineage: Bacteria
Description: partial 16S ribosomal RNA
Rfam family: Bacterial small subunit ribosomal RNA
Source: RNAcentral
CCUACGGGAGGCAGCAGUGAGGAAUAUUGGUCAAUGGGCGGAAGCCUGAACCAGCCAAGUAGCGUGCGGGAUGAAGGCCCUACGGGUCGUAAACCGCUUUUGCACGGGGAUAACACCCUCCACGUGUGGAGGUCUGCAGGUACCGUGCGAAUAAGGGCCGGCUAACUCCGUGCCAGCAGCCGCGGUAAUACGGAAGGCCCGAGCGUUAUCCGGAUUUAUUGGGCUUAAAGGGAGCGUAGGCGGGCGUUCAAGUCAGCGGUAAAAUCGCGCGGCUCAACCGCGCCCCGCCGUUGACACUGGGCGCCUUGAGUUCACGACAGGCAGGCGGAAUUCGUGGUGUAGCGGUGAAAUGCAUAGAUAUCACGAGGAACCCCGAUUGCGAAGGCAGCCUGCCGGGGUGCGACUGACGCUGAGGCUCGAAAGUGCGGGUAUCAAACAGGAUUAGAUACCCUGGUAGUC